This 274-nucleotide ribosomal RNA is filed under the name uncultured bacterium. RNAcentral's name for it is "partial 16S ribosomal RNA". It matches the Rfam family "Bacterial small subunit ribosomal RNA", at positions 523 to 796 of the family's 1533-position model. The record is from RNAcentral.
AUACGGAGGGGGCUAGCGUUGUUCGGAAUUACUGGGCGUAAAGCGCGCGUAGGCGGAUUGAUCAGUCAGGGGUGAAAUCCCGAGGCUUAACCUCGGAACUGCCUUUGAUACUGUCAAUCUUGAGUUCAAGAGAGGUGAGUGGAAUUCCUAGUGUAGAGGUGAAAUUCGUAGAUAUUAGGAAGAACACCAGUGGCGAAGGCGGCUCACUGGCUCGAUACUGACGCUGAGGUGCGAAAGCGUGGGGAGCAAACAGGAUUAGAUACCCGAGUAGUCC